GUCUGGAGAAGCGUCCUCAG
RNAcentral lists this small nuclear RNA (20 nucleotides) under Arabidopsis thaliana (thale cress). RNAcentral's name for it is "snRNA_06979". Lineage: Eukaryota; Viridiplantae; Streptophyta; Magnoliopsida; Brassicales; Brassicaceae. The record is from RNAcentral.